Molecule: ribosomal RNA, 301 nt
Filed under: uncultured bacterium
Lineage: Bacteria
Description: partial 16S ribosomal RNA
Rfam family: Bacterial small subunit ribosomal RNA
Source: RNAcentral
CAGUCGCCGCGGUAAUACGUAGGUGGCAAGCGUUGUCCGGAAUUAUUGGGCGUAAAGGGCUUGCAGGCGGUUUCUUAAGUCUGAUGUGAAAGCCCCCGGCUCAACCGGGGAGGGUCAUUGGAAACUGGGAAACUUGAGUGCAGAAGAGGAGAGUGGAAUUCCACGUGUAGCGGUGAAAUGCGUAGAGAUGUGGAGGAACACCAGUGGCGAAGGCGACUCUCUGGUCUGUAAUUGACGCUGAGGAGCGAAAGCGUGGGGAGCGAACAGGAUUAGAUACCCCGGUAGUCCCUGUCUCUUAUAC